AGCAGCACGACAUGGUUUGUAGGGACAAGGAGAUACAGACCGUUCUGGGCUGCCUC
RNAcentral lists this microRNA precursor (56 nucleotides) under Podarcis lilfordi (Lilford's wall lizard). The record is from RNAcentral. Lineage: Eukaryota; Metazoa; Chordata; Lepidosauria; Squamata; Lacertidae.